GACGAACGCUGUCGGCGUGCUUAACACAUGCAAGUCGAACGGAAAGGCCCUGCUUUUGUGGGGUGCUCGAGUGGCGAACGGGUGAGUAACACGUGAGUAACCUGCCCUUGACUUUGGGAUAACUUCAGGAAACUGGGGCUAAUACCGGAUAGGAGCUCCUGCUGCAUGGUGGGGGUUGGAAAGUUUCGGCGGUUGGGGAUGGACUCGCGGCUUAUCAGCUUGUUGGUGGGGUAGUGGCUUACCAAGGCUUUGACGGGUAGCCGGCCUGAGAGGGUGACCGGCCACAUUGGGACUGAGAUACGGCCCAGACUCCUACGGGAGGCAGCAGUGGGGAAUAUUGCACAAUGGGCGGAAGCCUGAUGCAGCAACGCCGCGUGCGGGAUGCCGGCCUUCGGGUUGUAAACCGCUUUCGCCUGUGACGAAGCGUGAGUGACGGUAAUGGGUAAAGAAGCACCGGCUAACUACGUGCCAGCAGCCGCGGUGAUACGUAGGGUGCGAGCGUUGUCCGGAUUUAUUGGGCGUAAAGGGCUCGUAGGUGGUUGAUCGCGUCGGAAGUGUAAUCUUGGGGCUUAACCCUGAGCGUGCUUUCGAUACGGGUUGACUUGAGGAAGGUAGGGGAGAAUGGAAUUCCUGGUGGAGCGGUGGAAUGCGCAGAUAUCAGGAGGAACACCAGUGGCGAAGGCGGUUCUCUGGGCCUUUCCUGACGCUGAGGAGCGAAAGCGUGGGGAGCGAACAGGCUUAGAUACCCUGGUAGUCCACGCUGUAAACGGUGGGUACUAGGUGUGGGGUCCAUUCCACGGGUUCCGUGCCGUAGCUAACGCUUUAAGUACCCCGCCUGGGGAGUACGGCCGCAAGGCUAAAACUCAAAGGAAUUGACGGGGCCCCGCACAAGCGGCGGAGCAUGCGGAUUAAUUCGAUGCAACGCGUAGAACCUUACCUGGGUUUGACAUGGAUCGGGAGUGCUCAGAGAUGGGUGUGCCUCUUUUGGGGUCGGUCCACAGGUGGUGCAUGCCUGUCGUCAGCUCGUGUCGUGAGAUGUUGGGUUAAGUCCCGCAACGAGCGCAACCCUUGUUCACUGUUGCCAGCACGUUAUGGUGGGGACUCAGUGGAGACCGCCGGGGUCAACUCGGAGGAAGGUGGGGAUGACGUCAAGUCCUCAUGCCCCUUAUGUCCAGGGCUUCACGCAUGCUACAAUGGCUGGUACAGAGAGUGGCGAGCCUGUGAGGGUGAGCGAAUCUCGGAAAGCCGGUCUCAGUUCGGAUUGGGGUCUGCAACUCGACCUCAUGAAGUCGGAGUCGCUAGUAAUCGCAGAUCAGCAACGCUGCGGUGAAUACGUUCCCGGG
RNAcentral lists this ribosomal RNA (1343 nucleotides) under uncultured bacterium. Its description in RNAcentral is "16S ribosomal RNA". It matches the Rfam family "Bacterial small subunit ribosomal RNA", at positions 28 to 1378 of the family's 1533-position model. The record is from RNAcentral.